This 76-nucleotide transfer RNA is filed under the name Mycobacteriales bacterium. RNAcentral describes it as "tRNA-Lys". It matches the Rfam family "tRNA". Rfam says of the family: Transfer RNA (tRNA) molecules are approximately 80 nucleotides in length. Their secondary structure includes four short double-helical elements and three loops (D, anti-codon, and T loops). Further hydrogen bonds mediate the characteristic L-shaped molecular structure. tRNAs have two regions of fundamental functional importance: the anti-codon, which is responsible for specific mRNA codon recognition, and the 3' end, to which the tRNAs corresponding amino acid is attached (by aminoacyl-tRNA synthetases). tRNAs cope with the degeneracy of the genetic code in two manners: having more than one tRNA (with a specific anti-codon) for a particular amino acid; and 'wobble' base-pairing, i.e. permitting non-standard base-pairing at the 3rd anti-codon position. RNAcentral also lists the same sequence under 4 other names. Lineage: Bacteria; Bacillati; Actinomycetota; Actinomycetes; Mycobacteriales. The record is from RNAcentral.
GCGCCGCUAGCUCAAUUGGCAGAGCAGCGGACUCUUAAUCCGCGGGUUCGGGGUUCGAGUCCCUGGCGGCGCACCA